Cyprinus carpio carpio is the source of this 1006-nucleotide long non-coding RNA. The record is from Ensembl. NCBI's taxonomy places the organism in Eukaryota, Metazoa, Chordata, Actinopteri, Cypriniformes, Cyprinidae.
AAGCUUUGCGCACGCGCUGCUUUGCUGCAUACCUGACAGCUGUCAAAGAAGGCAAGAAAACAUAGAUUGAUUAUGUAAUAAUUUUUAUUUUUCGUUUCUUUCUCCUCCCUUUUUUCUGUCUGUAAUGCUAAAAUCAAGCCUUUGGAAGCCAUCUCCCAUGAAUCCUCUCCAGAUCCAAUGACAGGAACACCCAAAGAUGAAAGUGGCCAAGAGACAUUUGAGACACCAAGAGAAAUCAACCGAAUUGACCAAAGUCUUGAACCAGAGAACCUCAAUAACUUGGAGAAACUUGAAGCUCAAGAGCAAAUAAAUGAGGACAUAAAUGAAGAUGAGAUACUGUACUUCUUCAGCCUCGGAGGAACCUCAACUUCAUCAAAUCAAUCAAAAUACAGACCCAAACAAGGAAGUAGUUGUUCAACUUGAACAUGAAGAAGACAAACCAGCAGAAGAACCAUAUGUUAUAAUGUCAAGAUCUAUUCAAGUUUUUGAUGAUAAAAUUCCAGUGGGUUCUGUAUCGUGCCAAGAGAAGGAAGCAAAGACAGUCGUUAACUCUGAGGAAGAGUUGACAAAUCUGGAGAUCGAUGAAAACCUGGAAAGGAACAUUAGAUCAGCUGUACCUACUUUUGAUUCUGUAUGUUCUAUGGCUAGUUUUCAUAUUCACGUCACAGAGGAGAUCCUGCAGAAGAGUGCUGAUAUUCUGUGCCAGACAGGAACAGUGACUUCGACAGACACCCAGGAGACAGUCCGGAUAAUUGCACUUCUUAAGACAGCACACAGGAAUCGAUGGACUACAAUUAAGCUUCUGUUGGAGAGAGGAGCAGACCCGAACGCCUCUACCAUCCCAUGCCCAUCAUUUUCCUGGCUAUCAAAGCUGCCCAUGUCAAGGGCGUCCGUCUUCUAUUGGAGUGUGCAGCUCGUACAAACAUACCUCUACUCUACUUCCAGAGUGUCCCCGUCACUACACUGGGGCGUUAGGACCCACACAGACCACAGGGUGAGCACCCCC